GUUGGUAAAGAAAAAAUAAACAUACCUUUAACGGCAUAUAAAAAAAACCCAGAAAUUUGAAUGUACCAAUACAGGUACUCCAGAUCUGAUUGUCUCAUCGUUUGUGAGAUAUAAAAUUAAAAUAUAAGAUGUCAUAAUUUAUAAUUUAUUAUACACUCUCUUGGAUUCAGUGAUUCAUUGUGAUGACUUAUAACUGAUGUAUACUCUCUGGGAUUUUGUGAUUCAAUUUCAUGAUUGAUAAUCGAUUUUAUACUUUCUGCGAUUCAAUGUCAUGAUUUUUAGUGGACUAUAAACUCUUGGUGAUCCAGUGAUUAAAUGUCAUGAUUUUUAGUGGACUUUAAACUCUCCAUGAUUCAGUGAUUAAAUGUCAUGAUUUUAAAUUUACUAUAAACACUCUGUGAUUCAGUUAUUAAAAAAAGGGAUGAAAGAUACCAGAGGGAGUCAAACUCAUAGAUAGAAGAUAAACUGACAAUGCUAUGGCUAAAAAUAAAAAGACAAAGAGACAAAUAAUAGUACAGAAGACACA
RNAcentral lists this long non-coding RNA (526 nucleotides) under Mytilus galloprovincialis (Mediterranean mussel). The record is from RNAcentral. Lineage: Eukaryota; Metazoa; Mollusca; Bivalvia; Mytilida; Mytilidae.